CCAGACUCCUACGGAGGCAGCAGUGGGGAAUAUUGCACAAUGGGCGGAAGCCUGAUGCAGCAACGCCGCGUGCGGGAUGACGGCCUUCGGGUUGUAAACCGCUUUCGCCUGUGACGAAGCGUGAGUGACGGUAAUGGGUAAAGAAGCACCGGCUAACUACGUGCCAGCAGCCGCGGUGAUACGUAGGGUGCGAGCGUUGUCCGGAUUUAUUGGGCGUAAAGGGCCCGUAGGUGGUUGAUCGCGUCGGAAGUGUAAUCUUGGGGCUUAACCCUGAGCGUGCUUUCGAUACGGGUUGACUUGAGGAAGGUAGGGGAGAAUGGAAUUCCUGGUGGAGCGGUGGAAUGCGCAGAUAUCAGGAGGAACACCAGUGGCGAAGGCGGUUCUCUGGGCCUUUCCUGACGCUGAGGAGCGAAAGCGUGGGGAGCGAACAGGCUUAGAUACCCUGGUAGUCCACGCUGUAAACGGUGGGUACUAGGUGUGGGGUCCAUUCCACGGGUUCCGUGCCGUAGCUAACGCUUUAAGUACCCCGCCUGGGGAGUACGGCCGCAAGGCUAAAACUCAAAGGAAUUGACGGGGGCCCGCACAAGA
This 588-nucleotide ribosomal RNA is filed under the name uncultured bacterium. Its description in RNAcentral is "bacterial SSU rRNA". It matches the Rfam family "Bacterial small subunit ribosomal RNA", at positions 331 to 930 of the family's 1533-position model. The record is from RNAcentral.